GACACUAUGGCCGAGUGGUUAAGGCGAUGCCCUGCUAAGGCAUUUCCUUCGGGAGCGCGAGUUCGAAUCUCGUUGGUGUCG
Exophiala oligosperma is the source of this 81-nucleotide transfer RNA. It matches the Rfam family "tRNA". From Rfam's summary of the family: Transfer RNA (tRNA) molecules are approximately 80 nucleotides in length. Their secondary structure includes four short double-helical elements and three loops (D, anti-codon, and T loops). Lineage: Eukaryota; Fungi; Ascomycota; Eurotiomycetes; Chaetothyriales; Herpotrichiellaceae. The record is from Rfam.